This 29-nucleotide non-coding RNA is filed under the name Mus musculus (house mouse). The record is from RNAcentral. Lineage: Eukaryota; Metazoa; Chordata; Mammalia; Rodentia; Muridae.
UACCUGCUGAAAGUGUAGAGACACACGCA